CCCACUUAUUUAACACCUUCUUAUCCGCCUGGCCCCUGUCUGCUCGGUUUUGGGUUGGGGUGACCGCGGAGCAUAAAAUAGCCUCCACGAAAGAAGGGAUGAUUCCCUCAUUUUAGAACUACACUUCCAAAGACUAACAAAUUAAUUUUAAGUGAUCCGAUACCCGUAUUCGAUCAACGAACCAAGUUACCCUGGGGAUAACAGCGCAAUCUACCUCAAGAGCCCCUAUCGACAGGUGGGUUUACGACCUCGAUGUUGGAUCAGGGUAUCCCAGUGGUGCAGCAGCUACCAAAGGUUCGUUUGUUCAACGAUUAA
This 315-nucleotide ribosomal RNA is filed under the name Boophis reticulatus. Its description in RNAcentral is "partial 16S ribosomal RNA". It matches the Rfam family "Bacterial large subunit ribosomal RNA", at positions 2213 to 2591 of the family's 2925-position model. Lineage: Eukaryota; Metazoa; Chordata; Amphibia; Anura; Mantellidae. The record is from RNAcentral.